ACAGAUCGUUCAGAGUUUGAUCCUGGCUCAGACGAACGCUGGCGGCAGGCUUAACACAUGCAAGUCGAGCGCCUCGCAAGAGGAGCGGCAGACGGGUGAGUAACACGUGGGAAUCUACCCAUCCCUGCGGAACAACUCCGGGAAACUGGAGCUAAUACCGCAUACGCCCUUCGGGGAAAGAUUUACCGGGGAUGGAUGAGCCCGCGUUGGAUUAGCUAGUUGGUGGGGUAAAGGCCUACCAAGGCGACGAUCCAUAGCUGGACUGAGAGGAUGAUCAGCCACAUUGGGACUGAGACACGGCCCAA
Molecule: ribosomal RNA, 305 nt
Filed under: uncultured bacterium
Lineage: Bacteria
Description: partial 16S ribosomal RNA
Rfam family: Bacterial small subunit ribosomal RNA
Source: RNAcentral